This is a long non-coding RNA of Strongylocentrotus purpuratus (purple sea urchin), 715 nucleotides long. RefSeq lists it as uncharacterized. NCBI's taxonomy places the organism in Eukaryota, Metazoa, Echinodermata, Echinoidea, Camarodonta, Strongylocentrotidae. The record is from RefSeq and is a predicted model, not a curated record. The transcript has 8 exons.
GUUGUUGCCUGUGAAUGGUAAAGUUGUUGCAAAAAUGGUAAAUGUGUUGCUUUUUUUACCGAUUUGGUAAAGUUGUUGCCCAAAGCAACAACUUUCCAUAUGAAAAUUGGUAAAUGUGUUGUCAUCACCAUUGACAAUACACACGAGCCUGCUCCUGCGUGUAUUAUCGCAUAGACUUUAAAAGAGGCUACCAAGGCGCUUGAUGGAUGCGCAUGCUGCAUGCAUGGAGUCCUACAUAUAUACAUGUAUGUACAGUUUGACAGAAUGAUGGUGUUAUGGCAGAUGAAUGAGAUGAGAAUUACGAAUGGAGGUGCUCCCAGUGAUUCCAGAGCUGUUCUUCCAAGAGAGUGUCAACUAGCACUGAGCCUGGAUGUAAGGAUGUUCCUUCUGGAUCAAGAAGCGAUUUGAUUGUGGAGCCUGGAUGUAAGGAUGUUCCUUCUGGAUCAAGAAGCGAUUUGAUUGUGGAGCCUGGAUGUAAGGAUGUUCCUUCUGGAUCAAGAAGCGAUUUGAUUGUGCUUACUGUUGUACAAAGUUGGCAACCGAGUAUUGGGGAAGCAGUUGUGCACACAACGUGUCAGCGUAGACUCCUCUAACCAGAUGGAGAGCAGACAAUGAUCAAGCUCAUUUUACAGGCUGCCCUUUCAAAUGCGUCCAAGAUGAAGAAAAGGCCAUUUCGAGCAUUGACCAAUGCUGUGUAUGACCCGAUGUCUAGGAA